RNAcentral lists this ribosomal RNA (505 nucleotides) under uncultured bacterium. RNAcentral describes it as "partial 16S ribosomal RNA". It matches the Rfam family "Bacterial small subunit ribosomal RNA", at positions 28 to 522 of the family's 1533-position model. The record is from RNAcentral.
GAUGAACGCUAGCUACAGGCUUAACACAUGCAAGUCGGGGGGUAACGAGAGGAAAGCUUGCUUUCCUUGUCGACGACCAGCGCACGGGUGAGUAACGCGUAUCCAACCUGCCCCCAACUAGGGAAUAACCUUGCGAAAGUAAGACUAAUACCCUAUAAUUUCCUCAGAUGUCAUCUGACGAGGAAUAAAGAUUUAUCGGUUGUGGAUGGGGAUGCGUCUGAUUAGCUUGUUGGCGGGGUAACGGCCCACCAAGGCAACGAUCAGUAGGGGUUCUGCGAGGAAGGUCCCCCACAUUGGAACUGAGACACGGUCCAAACUCCUACGGGAGGCAGCAGUGAGGAAUAUUGGUCAAUGGGCGGAAGCCUGAACCAGCCAAGUAGCGUGCAGGAUGACGGCCCUAUGGGUUGUAAACUGCUUUUAUACAGGAAUAAAGUUAGCCACGUGUGGUUAUUUGUAGGUACUGUAUGAAUAAGGACCGGCUAAUUCCGUGCCAGCCGCCGCCGUA